RNAcentral lists this ribosomal RNA (404 nucleotides) under uncultured bacterium. Its description in RNAcentral is "partial 16S ribosomal RNA". It matches the Rfam family "Bacterial small subunit ribosomal RNA", at positions 30 to 526 of the family's 1533-position model. The record is from RNAcentral.
AUUGAACGCUGGCGGCAGGCCUAACACAUGCAAGUCGAGCGAGCGGCGGACGGGUGAGUAAUGCCUGGGAAUUGCCCAGUCGAGGGGGAUAACAGUUGGAAACGACUGCUAAUACCGCAUACGCUUGGAUGGCCGAGGUGGGAUUAGCUAGUUGGUGAGGUAAUGGCUCACAAAGGCGACGAUCCCUAGCGGGGCUGAGAGGAUGAUCAGCCACACUGGAACUGAUACACGGUCCAGACUCCUACGGGAGGCAGCAGUGGGGAAUAUUGCACAAUGGGGGAAACCCGGAUGCAGCCAUGCCGCGUGUGUGAAGAAGGCCUUCGGGUUGUAAAGCACUUUCAGCGAGGAGGCGUUACUCGCAGAAGAAGCACCGGCUAACUCCGUGCCAGCCGCCGCGGUAAUUC